Molecule: non-coding RNA, 881 nt
Organism: Peromyscus maniculatus bairdii (prairie deer mouse)
Lineage: Eukaryota; Metazoa; Chordata; Mammalia; Rodentia; Cricetidae
Source: RefSeq, a predicted model, not a curated record
GCCAGGACAGGGGUCAGAAAAAUGAAGGUUAGAAGCAAGAGGACUCUGACCUUUACUGAUGGUGCGAAGCAAAAAUUUUGAAUAACCAGCCAUGGAAACACAAGAGAGGAAAUUGAGAAGAGGCAGAAAGGGUCAGAUAGAAGCUAGUAGAAUCUAGCCUGCCUGCCCUCCCUCCCUCCCUUAUUCUCUCCCUCUCUCCCUCCUUCUUUCCCUCCCUUCUUCCCAAAAUAAGUAAGCAUUUGCUUGGUCUCACUGGUAGUCCUCAGUGGAACACAUACAGCGAAGAGCACAGCACUUCACCCUGAGAAAUGUCCUCUCUUAGGAAAGACAAUUGGGUCUGACCUUACCCUCUGCCCCCCACCCAACCAAUAUGGACAUUCCAGGAAAGCUUCUUGGAAGAAGUGCUAUCUGAGCUGUUCCUGGAAGAGCUAAACCUGGGGCUGCACGGUGGGAGCAGGAUAAACAUUUCCAGCAAGCUGUAUCAGAGAAGGAAGUACCCUCUAUCUUAAAGGUGGAGGCUACCACCCAAGGGGCCGGCAAGGACAAGACUGGGAAGAAGAAGGUGAGAUUAGGGUGAGCUGGGACUGAUUAAAGAAGCAAGGUCAUGGGCUGAGAUCACCCUGCCUAAGAGAAACCAAAUUGUGAAGACAUCUGUUCUGUUAUUAAUUUCACAUAAAUCUUAAGCUCCUCAAGGCCAGAAAUGAGGCUUCAUUCACGUCGAAUUAAUGAAACAUGAUUGGAAAAUGGUUUCGUCUUUGCAAUCAACUGGUUAGCUGCUACCUGGCCUCAAGAUAGUGUGUGUGGAUGGAAUCCAACAGUCCCAACCAAAUACAAGGGAUAUUUAACUCUGGCAGUUAGCAUUAACCCAGACAAUGGAGCCA